AACGUAGGAGACAAACGUUAUCCGGAGUUACUGGGCGUAAAGGGCGUGCAGGCGGUUUUCUAAGUCUGGCGUGAAAUAUCACGGCUUAACCGAGAUAGGUCGUCGGAUACUGGGGAACUAGAGGACAGCAGAGGCGUGUGGAAUUCCGGGUGUAGUGGUGAAAUGCGUAGAGAUCCGGAGGAACACCAGUGGCGAAGGCGACACGCUGGGCUGUACCUGACGCUAAGACGCGACAGCAUGGGGAGCGAACGGG
Molecule: ribosomal RNA, 253 nt
Filed under: uncultured bacterium
Lineage: Bacteria
Description: partial 16S ribosomal RNA
Rfam family: Bacterial small subunit ribosomal RNA
Source: RNAcentral